RNAcentral lists this ribosomal RNA (425 nucleotides) under uncultured bacterium. RNAcentral describes it as "bacterial SSU rRNA". It matches the Rfam family "Bacterial small subunit ribosomal RNA", at positions 356 to 773 of the family's 1533-position model. The record is from RNAcentral.
GGGGAAUCUUGCGCAAUGCGCGAAAGCGUGACGCAGCAACGCCGCGUGGGGGAAGACGGCCUUCGGGUUGUAAACCCCUUUCAGUUGGGACGAAGGUCGGGCGGUUAACAGCCGUUCCGGCUGACGGUACCUUCACAAGCAGCCCCGGCUAACUACGUGCCAGCAGCCGCGGUAAUACGUAGGGGGCAAGCGUUGUCCGGAAUCAUUGGGCGUAAAGAGCGUGUAGGCGGCCCGGUAAGUCCGCUGUGAAAGUCAGGGGCUCAACCCUUGAAUGCCGGCGGAUACUGUCGGGCUAGAGUCCGGAAGAGGCGAGUGGAAUUCCUGGUGUAGCGGUGAAAUGCGCAGAUAUCAGGAGGAACACCUACGGCGAAGGCAGCUCGCUGGGACGGUACUGACGCUGAGACGCGAAAGCGUGGGGAGCAAAC